RNAcentral lists this transfer RNA (83 nucleotides) under Lachnospiraceae bacterium. RNAcentral describes it as "tRNA-Leu". It matches the Rfam family "tRNA". Rfam says of the family: Transfer RNA (tRNA) molecules are approximately 80 nucleotides in length. Lineage: Bacteria; Bacillati; Bacillota; Clostridia; Lachnospirales; Lachnospiraceae. RNAcentral also lists the same sequence under 2 other names. The record is from RNAcentral.
GCCGGCGUGGCGGAAUGGCAGACGCACCAGACUCAAAAUCUGGCGAUGGCAACAUCGUAUGGGUUCAAGUCCCAUUGCCGGCA